GCAGCAGCCACGGGAAUACGGAGGGUGCAAGCGUUAAUCGGAAUUACUGGGCGAAAAGCGUGCGUAGGCGGUUUGUUAAGUCUGCUGUGAAAUCCCCGGGCUCAACCUGGGAAUGGCAGUGGAUACUGGCAAGCUAGAGUGUGUCAGAGGAUGGUGGAAUUCCCGGUGUAGCGGUGAAAUGCGUAGAGAUCGGGAGGAACAUCAGUGGCGAAGGCGGCCAUCUGGGACAACACUGACGCUGAGGCACGAAAGCGUGGGGAGCAAACAGGAUUAGAGACCCCCGUAGUCCCUGUCUCUUAUAC
RNAcentral lists this ribosomal RNA (302 nucleotides) under uncultured bacterium. RNAcentral's name for it is "partial 16S ribosomal RNA". It matches the Rfam family "Bacterial small subunit ribosomal RNA", at positions 508 to 807 of the family's 1533-position model. The record is from RNAcentral.